This 449-nucleotide ribosomal RNA is filed under the name uncultured bacterium. RNAcentral's name for it is "bacterial SSU rRNA". It matches the Rfam family "Bacterial small subunit ribosomal RNA", at positions 355 to 796 of the family's 1533-position model. The record is from RNAcentral.
UGGGGAAUUUUGGACAAUGGGGGCAACCCUGAUCCAGCCAUGCCGCGUGAGUGAAGAAGGCCUUCGGGUUGUAAAGCUCUUUUGUCCGGGAAGAAAAGGCUCUCUCUAAUACGGGGGGUUCUUGACGGUACUGGAAGAAUAAGCACCGGCUAACUACGUGCCAGCAGCCGCGGUAAUACGUAGGGUGCGAGCGUUAAUCGGAAUUACUGGGCGUAAAGCGUGCGCAGGCGGUUCGUUAAGUCAGAUGUGAAAGCCCCGGGCUCAACCUGGGAACUGCAUUUGAGACUGGCGAGCUGGAGUCUGGCAGAGGGGGGUGGAAUUCCACGUGUAGCAGUGAAAUGCGUAGAGAUGUGGAGGAACACCGAUGGCGAAGGCAGCCCCCUGGGCUGAGACUGACGCUCAGGCACGAAAGCGUGGGGAGCAAACAGGAUUAGAUACCCCUGUAGUCC